GCGCCGGGGCUGCUGGGCGCCGCCAUGUUGUGGUGGGCCGCGUUUCCCUCCUCACCUCAGGCCUUUCCCUGCGCGCCUCAGGCCUUUCCCUCCUCACCUCAGGCCUUUCCCUCCUCGCAGGCCCCAAGGGGCCGGUUUCACCCCCCUCCAGGCCGGCAACAACCUCAUUUAGCCUUGAAAGUCGGACGGCCGGAGCAGCAGCUGCCCUCCCGGCCGGGGGUGGAGGCACCGCUCCUGUGCAGUCGGGUCGAUCUCCACGAGGUGGCGGUGGCUCGUCACGGGAGGCUUCGGGCAAACUCCCUUCGUGUUUACCUGCCGGCCUCGCGGGCGCUGAAAGCGUGGCGGCAUCCAUCCGUGUUUAAGAAUAAACUUGCGGACCAGUGCUUUUUCGUUACUCCACACGCAUGGAUAGAAAAGCUCGGAGGUUAUAAGACACAUAAGCGAUGUCUUUGCCAAUGCGCGAGUGCUCUACUCGGGCUCAUUUGGCUCCCAGGUGAAGAAGUUGCUAGAGCUUUUCUUGGCUGUAGCGAGCAUCAGCCUUUUUGCACUCAUGAACGUCUGUCCUGCUCUAGCUAUAAUUUGUGACGCAACAUUUGACAGGCAAAUAGGUUGAACCAGUGUUUGUACUGUUUACUGAUUUGUCACAUCUACACUAGUGUCUUCUACUACUCUGUCUCUGAAGUCAUCAAGUGCCACAAUGUGUAUUUAUGUUCCUGCGUACAGCAUAUUCCCUUCAUCUUUAAUGUAUUGGGUGCUGAAUGUGGAAAACAUACAUUCAGGAACUAACCUUUCUGUAACAGAACUAUUACAUUUUUUUGUGCACCUUACCUCCCAAAGGUCAGUCUAGUGCCUUAGUGUUGAAAGCAAAACCAUUGUCACCUGCUUUCAUCUGAGUGUUUAAUGCUGUUGACUCAACAACCUGUCUUCUCCAGAUCCAGACUGUCCUCACACACAGUGGUUGUGAUACCUUUGUGGAUGCGUAAGAAUGAGUAAGAGUUGGAAUUGUAAUUGUCUUUAACCGGCAUGUAUCAAAAGUGCACUCAGAUACUUGCUUCCAUGAUCAUUAGAAAUGAGUGUGGUUUUUCUUUCAGGGUGUAUUGGAUGGGCAACAACGACAACAUCAAAAUUAUGCUAAUAGUCUUUCUGGUAGCAAGACUUAACUGUGGGCCAGCUGAAAGAGUAACUAAGUUGUAAGAUUUCUGUAAGGAAGUCUGUGUUGAGGCUAUGUAGGAAAAGCGUGAACACAACAGGAAAUGGUGUGUAUAUAGCAAAAUUUUUCAUGCCACUUGGAAUAGCUGAUUUCAAGUGGUAACAUGUAUAAUAUGGCAGAACGCAAUGAGCUUAGAGUGAGUGUCUGCGAUAAAGUCAUACUGUGGGAGUAAUUUUUGCACUUCUCUGACAAUUGCCAAGGAUAAAUCUGUAUAUCUGUGACUGGCAAUAUAACAGCUUUGGUAUGUUAUCUGUAAACAGCACUUCUUAUUUUUAUAUAUUGAACCAAUUUUGAUCACAAUGUCUCCUACUUAUGUUGAGAAAACUUCUUGUGUACCAAGAAAUACAGGAGCAAUUACGUUCAGCUUUUAAUACUCUCUGUUCCUCUGACAGAUGAGUAAACAUUCCAGCCCUGUUGUUACAAAGUUAUCAAAACCCAGAAGAAUUUCCCAGGGUCAUAGAUAUCAGCCUAGAAGUCAGAGAGCCGGAGUGCCUGACUUCUGGUUUCACAAUCGGUGCAUGAAUUCACGCGUCAGUAAUCUCAUCAGCUGUAGACUGGGUCUGCAGCAAUUUUGUCUGGCAAUAGGGUAGGAAGGAGUACUGAAAACACAGAAUGCGUGACUACAUCUGAUGUAGUUAACAGGAUAAAUUGGUUAAUCAGGAAAUGAAAUAGCUUUUGCUUCCCCCCCCCCCCCCCCCCCGUAAGGAAUUUGCUGUUUACCUUGUUGACUGAAUCGUUCUGACUCAAAGACAGUUUGCUUACGCUGGUCUUCUCCUGACCUUCAGCACCGGGGUGAAGUUCACCUUUUGUCCUCUUUGUAUUUCCUCAUGUAAUAGGGGAAGUAAUCGUUCGCAUUCUUUUCUGCCUUUGGGCCAGGGUAUUUAGGCUGCUGCUCAACAGGAAAUGAACAGGAAAGAAUUUUUGUCAUAGAUUACUCCAAACCUUGGGUCUUGGGUGGAUGGAUAGGAUUUUCCCUUACAGCUCAAGGGUAGGAAUUUAGCACGACUGCCUACACUCUGUUCCUGAGGAAACACAUUAAGCAGCUGGACUUCCGACGGCAGCAGCAUUUGGUGGAGGGACUCCUUAGAUGGUGUUAUCUGUGUAAGUGCAAAUGCUCACUGACAUCAUUAACACGCCAUGUCACCGUAAUGCCAGGCAGAGGGGGCUAGCCUCUGUACCCUCACAUCGCUGAGAGAAAGCUGAGCUGCCCAGAAAUAUUUCCUGAUCGAGCUGAGCUUGCCGAGACAGGACCUCCCUGCCAUAACCCCCUUCUGCCUGCCAUAAACACAUUUCUUAAGGAAACUCUCAGAGCUGCCCCAUGUUCCAGCUUCUGGGCUGCACAUUUAGUGACCCUCCCGUGCCUUUUCCUAGCGAUAUGCCAGUGUAAAUGGGAUUUUGCUCUGCGGCACUGCUCUCCUACAUCAAACGAGUUAUUUCUGAUACCACGCGGUUAUUUCUGCCAGAGUAGUAGCAGUGUCAACUUUGCCAUCACACCGAAGACACUGUGAGAUGAGCACCGGUUGCAAUCAGAGAACUUAAAGCAGCCGUGAAGGCACAGCCCUGAAUUAAGCUUGGGGAGAGCUGAGUUAACAAAAAGGAAGGUCCACCAGGAGACAGUGCCUUCAAAGGACAGGUUUGCAUGAAAAUAAAUGCAGCGUAGCAGCACGGAGUUAGCCCUGCUAGGCGAUGGAUGAACCUCAUCUUCUGGUUUUGUUGGGUUCAUGAUUGACAGAGCUGUGUAAGAACCUGCUGCUCUCCCCAUACGAACCUGUCCCAGGUGAUGUACCACCCUCCUUCCUCCCCCUUGCCAGACUCCCAAACUGCAGUGUCUGUUCUUGAAAAUAUUAGGUGAUAUGAUGCCUCGGUCUAAGCUAGACAGUUAAGUAGCCCUGUGCAGACCAGGAGUUGAUUUCUGACAAGCCCUCUAUUCUAACUACUUGGGGAUGCAGUGGUUAUGACUUACGGACCUAGAAGGAUUCUGGGGAUGUGUGCACCCUUGGAGAGUUUUGCUGCUGUAGCAAUACUAAAAUGUGAAGAGGAUCUAGGACUCAGGCCAAAUCUUGCCAUGAAAUAAAUUUAUUUUUCCUUCAGCAAUAGGCAUCAUGGAAGACUUGCCAUUAUAAAUCAUACUAUAAUGGAAAAUUUGCUCUUGCCCACAAAUUUUCUGCAGAAAGUAUCUGAUGAAAUUUGGUCUGAAAAUCUUUUCCAAUAAGAAAUACAAAUUUUUUGUAUGUGCAAAAAAAUCUGUCGGUUAUCAGCUCUUGGUGACUUGGGAACUGCCGUGGCAGUAUAUGUGGAUUGCUGACAGCCCUCACAUGAGGUAUAAUCCUGACCACCUGGGGCUUUGCCAGAGUAAACCAGUUUCUCUUCAAGCAGUGUUUUCACAGAGAUCUCUACCAGUAAAACAUCUUUCCUCUCUUUGUUGACGAUUUGCCAUUUUAAUAACACUGUCUUUUAUCAAAUCUCCAUCAAUGAGGCAAUAGCUGUCCACCACAGACCUUAAGUGUGGAUCAGGACUGGGAUCCAGUAGGUCGUGACAUCAGGCUUCGGAAGAGCAGGGGUCUGUAAUUUCUCUCCGAGAUCCUCAUUAACCAAACCAAAGCUGAGCUGUGCUACUGGUGGGUAUACAGAAUCCCAAGUGCGAGGAGCCUGAUGUGAAGCACUCGAAGGGCAGGAGGUGGAGGUGAGCCUGGAAAGAUGGAAAAAGAGGGUUUCUGCUUGGGUAGAGGAUUCAUGUGCAGUUUCAGAUCAACACGACGCCUUUUUCCCACGGAGUGGUGUCGGUAUGAAAUGAGGUUUGAGGGGUGGCAGGUAUAUGCUAACAAAAGCCCAGAUCUUGAUGGAGUCACAAAACCUUUUUGCUCCCCCCCGCUACCAUGGUGGUUUGCUGGAGUAGCUUUGCUGUGAACCUGUCACCAGGCUGGGCUGUGCCAGCGAGAAGGGGCAUAGGAUUUGUAUUGUACAGAAAUUAUGGGAACAUUAAAGCCUCCUUUUAUCCAUACUGAAAACCUUUAUUUGUGCAAAUAGUAUUCAUGGAAAUUAUGCAGCUACACUAAAGAGAGGCCCUUUAAGAAUGUGUCUCUGAAAACACAGGCUCCUUUGCCAAGAAAUAAUGGGACUUCCUUAAUUAUCAGCUGUUAUCUUCUGGUUUUGGCAAACUUUUGUUGCUUUAUGUGCUGCUGUUUCUUUUAUGCUUUGACAUUAAUGAAUUGGAAUUGAAAUUAUGUGCUGAGGAAAACAAAG
This is a long non-coding RNA of Aquila chrysaetos chrysaetos, 4453 nucleotides long. Ensembl lists it as uncharacterized. Lineage: Eukaryota; Metazoa; Chordata; Aves; Accipitriformes; Accipitridae. The record is from Ensembl.